AGGAUGAACGCUGGCGGUCUGCUUAACACAUGCAAGUCGAACGGAGUAGAAAUACUUAGUGGCGGACGGGUGAGUAACGCGUGAGAAUCUACCUUCAGGACGGAGACAACAGUUGGAAACGACUGCUAACCCCCGAUGUACUGAAAAGGCAAAUAUUUAUAGCCUGAAGAAGAGCUCGCGUCCGAUUAGCUAGUUGGAGAGGUAAAAGCUCACCAAGGCGACGAUCGGUAGCUGGUCUGAGAGGACGAUCAGCCACACUGGGACUGAGACACGGCCCAGACUCCUACGGGAGGCAGCAGUGGGAAUUUCCGCAAUGGGCGAAAGCCUGACGGAACAAGACCGCGUGGGGAAGAAGGCUCUUGGGUUGUAAACCCCUUUUCUCUGGGAAGAACGCAAUGACGGUACCAGAGGAAUCAGCAUCGGCUAACUCCGCGCCAGCAGCCGC
Molecule: ribosomal RNA, 445 nt
Filed under: uncultured bacterium
Lineage: Bacteria
Description: SSU rRNA
Rfam family: Bacterial small subunit ribosomal RNA
Source: RNAcentral